Molecule: long non-coding RNA, 1111 nt
Organism: Mercurialis annua (annual mercury)
Lineage: Eukaryota; Viridiplantae; Streptophyta; Magnoliopsida; Malpighiales; Euphorbiaceae
Exons: 3
Source: RefSeq, a predicted model, not a curated record
CGGAAUUAAGUUCGAGAAAUAAGAAUUUAGAUCGAAGCGGGUCUAUUAAAAUGAUCGUGAAAUAAUAAAUUAAGUGGAAUUUAUUAUUUGAUAAAUUGGAAUUUAGCGGGACUAAGAAAAGUAGAUAAAUUAAAAUAAAAUAAAUGGUAAGUCCCGAGUUAAUUUUACGAUAAAGUUCGUAAAAUAAAUUUAUGGAUCAAAGAUCAAAUUUUGUAAAAAUUGGACGAAAGGAUUUUAAUUAAAUGGAAUUUGAUUAUCGGAAAAGGAAAAGGAUAUAAAUAAAUUAUUUGGACCCAGAUAAAUAAAUAAUGUGAUGAAACCCAUUAUUUAUCGAUAAAGAAUAAUCGUCAAGGUUCCGUGUAAUUAUGAAAUCAAUUUGGUUAAAUUGGAGAAAUUGAAAGCCUAAGAGUUAAGUUGGAAGAGGUGCCUAAUUUAGGCACUUGAAUAUGAUUUUUCCACAAACUUAAUAAGAAAAGGACACCUCAUACCCCACCCCUUCAAUUUCUAUUGCUAUCUAAAACUAGAAAAUGAAAACUUAAAACAAAACCCUCAUGUUGGAAGGUCACCGCCAUCACCAUCAUCUUCCUCCCUUCCUUCUUGUUCCUCAUGAACAACUCACACGGCGGCGUCAAUAUCUUCACGAAUUGAUCAUCGAUUUCAGCGAUUAAGGUCCGGUUGGAAAGCCAACACGCUAAGGAACAAGACUCGACGAGACGACUAUUAAGGGGGCGCAAAACGUAAAGAACGCAACAGGGCUUUGCUAUGGCCGAAGUCUUUGGAUAGCAAUUUUGUUAUGUUUCAGGUGUAUAGUAUCGAAUGUAACGGACUUCUAUCCUUGUUCCAGAAGUCCGCGAGUACAGAAAGAAGGAACCAAUCAGUAGUGCUGCAGUAGUCGAGUCCUAGAGUGUAAUUAUGUUUUAUCAAACGGUUUUAAAUAUCUUGUUUAUACUCUGAUAUGUAUAAAGGUUUUAGACUGCACUUUUAACCGUUUAUAUAUAUAUAUAUAUGAGAAACAGGGCAUUGCUUGAUAUGGGAUAUCGCUUUGUAAGACCCUGAUUUCUAAAGAUCGUUUUGUAUCGUUUACUGAAGUUUUAUAAAAACAUUUUGUUAA